This is a long non-coding RNA of Alligator mississippiensis (American alligator), 3653 nucleotides long. RefSeq lists it as uncharacterized. The record is from RefSeq and is a predicted model, not a curated record. The transcript has 3 exons. NCBI's taxonomy places the organism in Eukaryota, Metazoa, Chordata, Crocodylia, Alligatoridae.
AUCAUGCCACACGGCGCCCGGCAUGCCGCGGAACCUUCAGCCCCGCAAUGGUGACCUGUUACCGGCAUGCCUUGCGGCAAGCGCAACUACAAGUCCCGGCAUGCUUCGCGGCUGCAUCCACUCACAGGCACUGGCGACUACUGCUCCCGGCACGCCCCGCGGCGCCCUGGCAUGCGUGCACGUGGGUGGACGGCACGAGGGUCCCCGCGAAGCCCCAGGGCGCGCGUGGCCGCCCCUGGCCCAGGCACCCCCGACCUGCUGGGAGCCACGUGCCAGGCUGCGGCCUAGCACCCACGCUUGAGGCAGGAGCACGCGGAGCGUUCUGGAUGCGUCCUGCAGCCGAGGGCCCGUCUCUCUCCCUGACUCAAGGCCUCUCUGCUGCCUCCCUUGGGUGGAGCCUGCAAGGGGAAGCGCACGUUUGUGUCCUGUAGAGGAGAAUCCAUUUUUAAACCUUGUUCGUGACUGUUUUAAAUAUCCCUGCUUUUGGGUGGCGACCCGCAGGGUGAGAAACACCGAGGUAGAUGGUGAUGAGCAGCAUCGUCGGGUGACCCCCCUCGCUGCUGUGUUGCCAGGCAUUUGGCUCUAAAGUUUGGAUGAGGCGAGAAUGGACGAGGGGUGCGACUGCACCCUGGAGCCACCCCGAUUGCCAUCAAAGGCAUCCCUUCCCGAAGCACACUUGAUCUCCAGCAAUGAGCAUUCCCAUCCCCAGUGGAUCUAGACGCCCUUUUUGAAAGCUGCCUCGUAGACAAAUGUUUUCUGCUGUGCAAAACCAUUUGACACUAAACGACUGCAGCAGAAUGAAAGAAUUCGAAGUCAGAAUCUAGUCUGUGCCCUUCCUUGCAACUUCCAGCUGGGAAACAAUGUCUCCUCUGGCUAAUUAACUGCACAGGUAAAUAAGUGUGGAAGAACUCUGCUGUCUGCCAGAUGAUGACGAUGAUUAAUUAUGUGCAUUACCAUGGGGCUUUGGGGCACCCGCCAUGGCCCAGGGACCCACUGUGCUAGGGCUGCACAAAGAGAGCAGAGGCAGGUCCUGCCCAAGCAGCUUAGUAUAAGAAGGGACAGCAGAUGAUGAAUGCAGACAGAUGGGGGAGCAUGAGGAAACGAUGAGCCAGUGCUGGGCAGCACGAGAAGCCACUGUGGUCUUAAGGCACCAGUAGCAUAAUGCAAGAUUCUUGUCAUCAUCCUGGAGGAGGGCGGUGUAAGGAGGGGUCUGACUGAAGAUAAUGAGGUGGCUUCGCAGACGCGGUGGGGACCUCCCAAGCAUGAGCAGCUGCAUGGAGAUGUCAUGUAGAAAGCACUGGCAAACUUGAAACUUGGCCUGGAUGCGAGGGCUUACAAAGAGGUCCAAGUCAAAGAUAACGUCCAGGUUACGGGCUUGGUGACGGGCAGGAGAGUGGUUUUGUCACAGCUAUGGAGAGGAGGCUUUGUAGGAUGAAACUAGAGCUCUGUUGUAGCCAUAGCAAGCUUGGGCUGUUGGCCAGGCAUCCACGUGGAAACGUGAGAACGAUAAGCCAAGCAUUUAGCUUGGUCGACAGGAGACCGUCGAAAGGACGAGGUGUCCACGUGGAUAUGGCGGCUUCACUCGUGUUUGUGUGUGAGCCAAGCCAGGGAUGAAGGGGAGGGGGCAAAGAGAAGGGGCCCUAGUACAGGCCCCUGGGGGAUACUGUAGGAGGCUGGGAGGAGGGCAAGGGAACUCCUCUGAAUGGUAAAUGUAAGAAGCAGUUGAGGGAAGAGAACCAGGAGCAGACAGUUGUGUAAGUCAACAUUUCAAGGACGGCAACGUGGCUGACUGCUGAAGGCAGCUGAAAAGUCAAGGAGGAGGAGGAUAGAGGACUGGUUCAGAGACACGGCUCAAAAGACGGCAUUGAAAGCUUUGCUGGUUGGCUGUAGAGACAGCAAGUGGUGGAUGGGUGCUGCGCCAGAAAAGAAAGGUCAGCAUGGAAGAAGGGCAUAGGCAGGCUCACGGAGAUAGCAGUUUUAUGAAUCUAUAUGUCACUCAGGACGAUAGAGAAUUGCAGUUGCAGGACGCUCCCCCACCCGCACUGCGACAAGGAAGCUCAUGAUUUAUCCACAGUGAAACCAUGGACAAUGUGUGCAGCCACGUGUAACUGCUAUCUAUGGCUUACGAGGGCAGAAGCAGAAACUGCUCCCGAGCCCAGAGUCUAAGUGCUCUGUGCCAGCAGAAAGCAAAGGGUAACUAUUCAGUAUCAGGGCUGUGCAUGCUUUGUGAGGCCCAAGGCCAUACGAUGCAUCAUCAAGGUGAGCGACUGCCCUUGGACAGAUCUAGUGUUGAAUCUCUGCGUUACCUGCAUGAGGGUAGUUUACCCCCCCGGGGGGGGGAUACCAAAGGAUAGUAAAUAUGCACAGUAGGGUCAGGCAUCGCGGUGAUGAGUAGUAUAACUGGUCUAAAGGAACAGUCAGGUUCUGGAGCAGAGGGCGCUGGAGAUGCGUCCGCAGUCCGUGUGAAUGAGACCGGGCCUGGGUUCUCAGGCUAAAUGUCUUUACUUCCACUCCUCCUCCUGUCUUAAUCAGUUCAUCUAUACAGUGCCUUUGUUUUCUAUUUCUUUGAUUGUUUUUUGGGCCUGACUCACUUCCUUAUUCAGAACCAUUAAAACCAGACAAGUUAAACUAGUCUCUAUGCCAGCUCUCAAGGCAGAGCUGCCACUGCUGUCUGAGCCAGACAAGACAGCAGUACCAUUUGAUUUGGGAGGCACCAAUAGAGCUAUUUCCUUACCUGCAGUAGCAAAAGAUGGUCUUCUUUCUGACCAGAAAGUAACCUAGAAGAUCCGUUGCAAAGAUGGGUGGGAUUGUCAAGGGGCUAAACACCCAGCUGCAACUGCAUUUAAAUAGGUCUUCGUGCCCAGCACCUUUGGAUUGCUUUGGAAAUCCCAGCAGUUUCGCAGUUCUGGCGUUACUCUGCUCACCCUCCCUGCAUUACAUGCAACAUCAGCUAGCUUCACAACUAGCCGUAGCACUUCUUGUGAGUUGUGGGCUUCAGUGGUGAGGCUAUGGGUAUGAGCCGCAUGGCCUGCUGCUCACCUUGUUAUAUGGUUGAUUAUAUUUAAUAUAAUGACUAGUUACAAAAAAAAAUCCCUUUUGCAACAGUUUGCGUGAAUAGAAGUGAUGGACUGGAACCUCAGGCUCCGACUCCUCUCAUUUCUGCAUUGAGCUUUGAAACCAUCGUCUUCGGCAUCACUUCAGCAUGCUGGACAGAAGCAGCAUCAAAAACGCCCCCGUCACAAGGCUGCUGUGUACUCCAGCAAAGCAUGCACAGACCUUCAGUGGAAAAAACCCAAGUGGCCAAACAUGUCAUUCUGCGGUUUUCCACGUGACCACGGUUUGCUUUGUUUUUCUCCUUCGCUGGCGUUAUGGCACCUAGGCACUUUGGAGAUUUGUGAGACGACAACAAUCGUACUGCGCGUAUGCAAAAGGGCUGGAAACGAACCAGCGAUAACGUGUUCCUGCUGGGCCUCGAAGCGAGCGAACACCCGGAGACCCCAAAGCAGCACUCCUGUUGUUCGGCUAAAGGAGGCUGCCCCGAAACUAGACCCACCGUGUCAUCCGCAAUCUACUGAAAUAGCGCAGCCGCUCUGGACUCCUCAGCUGCGUUUUGAUUUGUUACAGGCUAUAAACCCGAACACGUCAGCACUUUG